RNAcentral lists this long non-coding RNA (841 nucleotides) under Vigna radiata. Its description in RNAcentral is "long non-coding RNA (VRAD_LNC012825)". Lineage: Eukaryota; Viridiplantae; Streptophyta; Magnoliopsida; Fabales; Fabaceae. The record is from RNAcentral.
CCUAAUAGGAAAACACUCCUCUUUACCCAACACACACACAAGAGCACUGAAUCACUUCUUUAUUCACAGAACAAACAAGAUACAAUGUAUGAAAGCCUAACCUCCCCCUGAUCAGGACAACUAGUUCCUGUCAAACAAUGGUAUUUACUUUGCUAACUCCCAAAAGCUAACAAUACAAUCCUUAUAUACAAAUCCCCCCAACUACCCAUUCUAACUGCCAAGGCAGUUAAGCUAAACCGGUCUGUGUACCGGUUCUCCUUCUAGUAUAUACUAAUAAUGGUCUAAUAAUACCCCCCUCUCCUGAAACAACCUUGUCCCCAAGGUUAAAUUCAGGGUAUUGUUCCUGGAUGGUAGCCUCGUCCUCCCAGGUCGCUCCCUCACGGCCUCCUUCUUGCCACUCUAUCAGCACUUGUGGUAUUUCAACUUCACCCAACUGUCUUUUCCUCCUUUCUAGAACCCUCACCGGCCAAAACAUGGGCCCCUCUACCUGCAACUCCACCAGUAAUUCUUUUUCUACCCUUUUUUCUCCCACAGCCUUUUUUAAUUGUGAGACGUGAAGAUUGGAUGAAUCCUAGUUGUCACUGGCAACUAGAUAUGAAAAGCAACUUUUCCCUCGUAGCACCUGGAAAGGUCCAAAAUAUCUUGCUGAUAAUUUUGGAUGAAGACGUGUGGGCAUUAAAGUCUGCCUGUGGGACCUGAUGCGCAGAUAAACCCAAUCUCCCACCUUGAUAUUUGUUUCCCUCCUCUUCUUAUUUACCUGAGCCACCAUUGCAUCCUGCGCCUUUUUAAGAUGUUGUUGUAGUUGUCUCAGGGCUUCAUCUCUUGUCAUCAAAUCCUGCAC